GCCUCCGUGGUGUUCAACGGCAGCACACGCCCGUCGUACGGCCGGGGAGCGGGUUCGACUCCUGCCGGAGGCU
RNAcentral lists this transfer RNA (73 nucleotides) under uncultured Solirubrobacteraceae bacterium. RNAcentral describes it as "tRNA-Thr-CGT". It matches the Rfam family "tRNA". From Rfam's summary of the family: Transfer RNA (tRNA) molecules are approximately 80 nucleotides in length. Their secondary structure includes four short double-helical elements and three loops (D, anti-codon, and T loops). Lineage: Bacteria; Bacillati; Actinomycetota; Thermoleophilia; Solirubrobacterales; Solirubrobacteraceae. The record is from RNAcentral.